Molecule: ribosomal RNA, 801 nt
Filed under: uncultured Neisseria sp.
Lineage: Bacteria; Pseudomonadati; Pseudomonadota; Betaproteobacteria; Neisseriales; Neisseriaceae
Description: bacterial SSU rRNA
Rfam family: Bacterial small subunit ribosomal RNA
Source: RNAcentral
GCACAGAGAAGCUUGCUUCUUGGGUGGCGAGUGGCGAACGGGUGAGUAAUAUAUCGGAACGUACCGAGUAAUGGGGGAUAACUAAUCGAAAGAUUAGCUAAUACCGCAUAUUCUCUGAGGAGGAAAGCAGGGGACCUUCGGGCCUUGCGUUAUUCGAGCGGCCGAUAUCUGAUUAGCUAGUUGGUGGGGUAAAGGCCUACCAAGGCGACGAUCAGUAGCGGGUCUGAGAGGAUGAUCCGCCACACUGGGACUGAGACACGGCCCAGACUCCUACGGGAGGCAGCAGUGGGGAAUUUUGGACAAUGGGCGCAAGCCUGAUCCAGCCAUGCCGCGUGUCUGAAGAAGGCCUUCGGGUUGUAAAGGACUUUUGUCAGGGAAGAAAAGGCUGUUGCUAAUACCGACAGCUGAUGACGGUACCUGAAGAAUAAGCACCGGCUAACUACGUGCCAGCAGCCGCGGUAAUACGUAGGGUGCGAGCGUUAAUCGGAAUUACUGGGCGUAAAGCGAGCGCAGACGGUUACUUAAGCAGGAUGUGAAAUCCCCGGGCUCAACCUGGGAACUGCGUUCUGAACUGGGUGACUAGAGUGUGUCAGAGGGAGGUAGAAUUCCACGUGUAGCAGUGAAAUGCGUAGAGAUGUGGAGGAAUACCGAUGGCGAAGGCAGCCUCCUGGGAUAACACUGACGUUCAUGCUCGAAAGCGUGGGUAGCAAACAGGAUUAGAUACCCUGGUAGUCCACGCCCUAAACGAUGUCAAUUAGCUGUUGGGCAACUUGAUUGCUUAGUAGCGUAGCUAACGCGUGA